AGCAGUCGCCGCGGGAAUACGUAGGGUGCGAGCGUUAAUCGGAAUUACUGGGCGUAAAGCGUGCGCAGGCGGUUAUAUAAGACAGAUGUGAAAUCCCCGGGCUCAACCUGGGACCUGCAUUUGUGACUGUAUAGCUAGAGUACGGUAGAGGGGGAUGGAAUUCCGCGUGUAGCAGUGAAAUGCGUAGAUAUGUGGAGGAAUACCGAUGGCGAAGGCAGCCCCCUGGGAUAACACUGACGCUCAUGCACGAAAGCGUGGGGAGCAAACAGGACUAGAUACCCCGUAGUCCCUGUCUCUAAUACA
This 303-nucleotide ribosomal RNA is filed under the name uncultured bacterium. Its description in RNAcentral is "partial 16S ribosomal RNA". It matches the Rfam family "Bacterial small subunit ribosomal RNA", at positions 507 to 810 of the family's 1533-position model. The record is from RNAcentral.